This is a long non-coding RNA of Cynoglossus semilaevis (tongue sole), 1234 nucleotides long. RefSeq lists it as uncharacterized. The record is from RefSeq and is a predicted model, not a curated record. The transcript is spliced from 2 exons. NCBI's taxonomy places the organism in Eukaryota, Metazoa, Chordata, Actinopteri, Pleuronectiformes, Cynoglossidae.
AAAACACCUCUUAUAUUAUAUAGAUUAAAGUUUCCUGUGUGAAUUAUUCAUAACAUAUCUUUUCACUAUGGGCUAACGUUUUGUAAUUAUUUUAUUUUAUGCUAAUAAUUAGAGAAUCUAUUUUAAUGAUCUAAGUAUCAGAUCUGUUGGUGUCAUUCGAUGAUAAGAGCUCAUUGUCUUUGAACAAACGCACUGCAGUAAAACAAACAAACAAACAAAAAAUUCGAUUGCUCCGACAGUAGUAAAAUCGAAAUUUCCACACAGCACAGAGCUUUCAUCUGCAGAAAAGACGACUAACCUCUGCACCAUAUCUGCUUUCUGUCGUAGGAGGAACAACUUGUUUUUUAAAUGAGCCUGGAGUCAAGUCAGCACCAGAGCCGGCCGCUUACUUCUGCUCUGAUGACAGCACAGAUCGAAGCACAGAAUAGAUUCAGGUGCUGUGUGUGUGUGGACAUAACAGGAGGAUUGUGGGUAGCCCCCGAGGGAGCAACGGCUUGACAAAUAUUUGAAGUGCCGCCGUGCUCUGUUUAUUCUGUUGCCUUCAGCUUCAGUUUGUGUAGGCUGCUGUUGAACAAUGCUUUACAAAGUCAAAAAGGAAAGAAAUUAGAAUCAGAAAAGAAGCCAGUUUGUACAACAGUGUGUAGAUUUACUCAUCCAACAAUGCUCUUUAGCAGCAGCUCCAGGGGAAAAUGAUAGGCCUGUCAAAUAGUACAAUUUAUAAUCUGGUCUGACAUGAGAUGUCAGUUUAGGCUCUAGAUUCUAUGAUUAACAAAUGUGUAUGGACUGAGUGUUGGAGCUGUGUUUGACGGCUACAUUUUUAUAACAGAAUUACGUGGGAAGUUUAACUGCCUUUGUCAAAAUAUUCAACACUUAGUGUAGUAGUGUAACAAUUCUCCAUCUCUCCAUUAUUAGUUUCCGCAAAAGAUUAAAAAGAAUCACAAUCCUUAAAAAUUUUUAUUACAUAUAUUUGCAUUACAUAUAACUGAUUCAAUUUUGGUUUUAUCAAAUCCACACAAAAUAUACAAAUGACAACAGUGUGUUCCACCUCUGCAAUUUUGCAGAAGAGGUGGAGAACAGAGAGUCAAUAAAAACUGUGAGUUUUUGUCCAGACAAUCACAGUGUUUUUGUUUUGUUUUUUUUUUAAUUCAGGAGACUCGUUUUUCCCACUUGAUUAUCUGCUAUGAAACACAUCGCAUGUCAAUGCAUCACUCUGAGUCAUCAGUCUUGAUUGAAG